RNAcentral lists this small nuclear RNA (19 nucleotides) under Arabidopsis thaliana (thale cress). Its description in RNAcentral is "snRNA_10993". Lineage: Eukaryota; Viridiplantae; Streptophyta; Magnoliopsida; Brassicales; Brassicaceae. The record is from RNAcentral.
UGACAGAAGUAUAGAGAGC